UAGGGAAUCUUCCGCAAUGGACGCAAGUCUGACGGAGCAACGCCGCGUGAGUGAAGAAGGAUUUCGGUUCGUAAAACUCUGUUGUUAGAGAAGAACAGCGCAUAGAGUAACUGUUAUGCGUGUGACGGUAUCUAACCAGAAAGCCACGGCUAACUACGUUCCAGCAGCCGCGGUAAUACGUAGGUGGCAAGCGUUGUCCGGAUUUAUUGGGCGUAAAGCGAGCGCAGGCGGUCAAUUAAGUCUGAUGUGAAAGCCCCCGGCUCAACCGGGGAGGGUCAUUGGAAACUGGUUGACUUGAGUGCAGAAGAGGAGAGUGGAAUUCCAUGUGUAGCGGUGAAAUGCGUAGAUAUAUGGAGGAACACCAGUGGCGAAGGCGACUCUCUGGUCUGUAACUGACGCUGAGGCUAGAAAGCGUGGGUAGCAAACAGG
Molecule: ribosomal RNA, 429 nt
Filed under: Bacteroidota bacterium
Lineage: Bacteria; Pseudomonadati; Bacteroidota
Description: Bacteroidetes bacterium partial 16S ribosomal RNA
Rfam family: Bacterial small subunit ribosomal RNA
Source: RNAcentral